This 127-nucleotide small nuclear RNA is filed under the name Ophiophagus hannah (king cobra). Lineage: Eukaryota; Metazoa; Chordata; Lepidosauria; Squamata; Elapidae. The record is from RNAcentral.
GUGCUUACUUCAGCAGCACAUAUAUAAAAAUGAAAUGGAAUGAUACAGAGAAGAUUAGCAUGGUCCCUGCUCAAGAUUAGCAUGGUCCCUGCUCAACAUGCAAAUUCAUGAAGAAUUCCAUAUUUUU